This 253-nucleotide ribosomal RNA is filed under the name uncultured bacterium. RNAcentral describes it as "partial 16S ribosomal RNA". It matches the Rfam family "Bacterial small subunit ribosomal RNA", at positions 524 to 776 of the family's 1533-position model. The record is from RNAcentral.
UACGAAGGGGGCUAGCGUUGCUCGGAAUCACUGGGCGUAAAGGGUGCGUAGGCGGGUCUUUAAGUCAGAGGUGAAAUCCUGGAGCUCAACUCCAGAACUGCCUUUGAUACUGAGGAUCUUGAGUUCGGGAGAGGUGAGUGGAACUGCGAGUGUAGAGGUGAAAUUCGUAGAUAUUCGCAAGAACACCAGUGGCGAAGGCGGCUCACUGGCCCGAUACUGACGCUGAGACGCGAAAGCGUGGGGAGCGAACAGG